RNAcentral lists this ribosomal RNA (1233 nucleotides) under Triticum aestivum (bread wheat). RNAcentral's name for it is "partial small subunit ribosomal RNA". Lineage: Eukaryota; Viridiplantae; Streptophyta; Magnoliopsida; Poales; Poaceae. The record is from RNAcentral.
AUGGCGUUUGGCAGAUGGCUUGCUCCUGCAUGGGCGCCGGCUUUUCGUGCUGGAUCAUGGCGACCUCCGUCACCAGGUUCUGCUGCUAGCACACUCACCGGCCACGAGGGCGUGCAGAAGACCCUUCACCGUCUCUGCGCUGAUUUCUACAUCCCCGGCGACCGGGCCCUGGUACGAGAUUGGGUGCGGUCUUGCCUGACGUGCCAGCGCAACAAGACGAAGACACUGCGACCGGCCGGGCUGCUCCAGCCCCUGGAGGUUCCCUCUCAAGUUUGGGCCGACAUCUCCAUGAACUUCAUCGAGGGCCUUCCCAAGGUGGGCGGCAAGUCCGUCAUCCUUACUGUGGUCAACCGCUUCUCCAAGUAUGCGCACUUCAUCGCGCUCGGCCAUCCCUACACUGCCGCCUCCGUGGCGCGUGCCUUCUUCGACAGCAUCAUCCGCCUCCAUGGGUUCCCCUCUUUGAUCGUCAGCGACCGGGACCCGGUGUUCACUCGGCAUGUCUGGUGCGAUCUCUUCUGCAUGGCGGGCGUGAAGCCGCGCCUGAGUACGGCCUUCCAUCCUCAGACGGAUGGUCAAUCGGAGGUGGUCAACAAGGUGAUUGCCAUGUAUUUGCGUUGUGUUACAGGUGAUCGUCCCCGUGCUUGGGUGGACUGGCUCGCGUGGGCGGAGUACUGCUACAACACUUCAUACCACUCCGCCCUGCGCGCCACACCUUUUGAGGUGGUCUAUGGCCGACCGCACCCGCCCAUCCUACCGGUUGACCCCGAGACGGCUAGGACGGAGGCGGCUGGCGACCUUCUUCGCAACAGAGAUGAGAUGCUUGCGGAGGUGCGCCAACGACUUCUCCAGGCCCAGCAGUUGUCCAAGCACUACUACGACGCCCACCACCGCAAGGCGAAGUUUGCGGUGGGCGACUGGGUAUGGCUGCACCUCCUUCACCGCUCCAUGCAGUCCCUCGACCCACGCGCAAAGCGCAAGCUGGGCCCUCGCUACACGAGGCCAUUUUUCGUGCUGGAACGCAUCGGAAAGGUGGCCUACCGCCUUCAGCUUCCGAUCGGUGCCCGCGUCCAUGAUGUCUUCCAUGUGGAGUUGCUGAAGCCCUUCCACGGGGAACCGUCGACGACCACGUCGGUGCUUCCUCCGACCUCCGACGGGCGCCUUCUUCAAGGACCGGCGAAGGUGUUGCAGGUCCAGCAGCGUCGCGGGGUGUGGCACUUGUUGAUCCAGUGGUAA